This 1945-nucleotide long non-coding RNA is filed under the name Monomorium pharaonis (pharaoh ant). RNAcentral's name for it is "uncharacterized LOC118645275". Lineage: Eukaryota; Metazoa; Arthropoda; Insecta; Hymenoptera; Formicidae. The record is from RNAcentral.
AAAAGAUUGAAAAAAAUAUUCGCGACAAGAAUAUAUAAUUUACUAUAAUUUCUAUAAUUAUUAUAAUUUCAAAGAAAAUUUGGUUUCAAAUGCAUUAGCAAACUUAUUAACACAGUUUAUGUCUUACUGAAUUUAAAAGAAUGGCAUUUUAUUGAAUGUACUACUCAAUCUAUCAAUGUGUUUCCUGUAGUGUGAAACAAAUAUUGCUAAACUCGUUAUGCUUGCCAAUAUGAUAUAACUAUCAUCUAUUAACAAUCUGUCUCUGCGUUAUAACCGAAAUAUCUGGAUGUUAAUUGUCAUUGCCAGAUAAUAAUUGAUAGACGUCACGUUCAGUCCGCCUAUUAAUUGCGUUACCUAGCCGGUCGAUAUGUCGGCAAUAAGAGAUUCAAUUUUUUAAAUCAAAAUUUGAAGCGAGAGAAACGUAGUUACAAAAUCAGAAUCAUUUUUAGUGCGACACACAAUAUCCGGUGAAAAAAAUUGGGAAUUAAAGCUCAACACAAUCUCUGUUUCUCGAAAAAAAAAUUAUUUUAAAAUCAUUCUUCGAAUUGAGAAUUUUUUAAAUAAAUUAUUAAUUAAUUUUAAAAUAAUCCUUAUGAAAAAACUUUACAAAUAUCUAAGUAUAUAUAACCUCCUCUCUUGAAGUUUUCUUAUAGAUUAAUAUUCUCAUCUGGAUCCUCUUUUUAUAUUCUAGGAGACUUGAUUUACGCUCGUCCUUCAAAAUCAGUCGCCUGAAAAAUUUCUUACCUCCAUUGUCUCGGAUUCCCUUAAAAAUUCGAUGCAUCUUUCAGUGACACAUUUGCGAUGUAAAUGCAACGCUACCAUAUAACGGAGAGCUACUUAUUUCCCUUUCGUGGUCAAAUCGAAGAUUCACAACCGCGAAUCUGUAAAACUGAUGGUCGGCCGAAUCGCGGAUUUCGUUUCGUAUUCUGAAAAGCACUUCGUAAGCGAUAUUUCGGCAAGCGCUAUUGAUCGUCUAAAAGCAGCUUGAAUUAUUCACAAAUCGGAGAACACCUAAAAAUCUAAUAUUUAAAAAAAUGGGAUAGAAAAAUGCUCUCAUAAAAAUGUAAAGAGCUGAACAUAAAAAUACCUAAAAAUCAGAACGUUUAAAAUAUGAAAAUAAAAUCCAAGGAUUUUUCAACGCUAUAAACAAAUAAUGAAGAGGAAAUUAAUAUUCGCUGCGUAAUUCAUAUUCAUCGCUUUACAAUUCAGGAAACGUUUUUAAAACAGUUUUAUUUAAAUAAUACAAAGAUAAACGUGGAAGGUAAUUUCCGUAUACUUUUGGAAAUAAUUGGAUAUGUGUAUCAGUACAUAUCAUAUCGUAAAAGAUUCUUCGGCUAUCACAUCGAAUAAAAGAAAUUGUCGUAAAGGGUCUUAAAUAAAGUAGCGAUAUUUACUUUUAUCGUUGCUACUAUCAGUUUUUCCAAAUAACUUCAAUGUAUUUUUACAAUCCAUAUGUUAUACUUCAAUUGAUACAAUAUAGGCCAUAUAGUAAUCAUUGACCUUUAAACAAGCAUUGAAACUCGGUUUCGUUCUUGAUAUACUGUUUCACAGUUUAGAACAUUUCGAUCUAUUUUUAACAAAUGCAAUUCACAAUAUAUUACGAUUCUUUUUAUAUUUAAAUCAAAUUUUCUUUUCUCUUCUCUAUAUAUAUACACACAAUUAUUUUAUAAUAUUUACACAUUAAUAGUUUCGGGUUACAAUCAGGGUUGGGAAAUAACACGUUACUUGUAACACCUUUACAGUUACCUUUUUUUAAAUAACAAUUAUUUUUUAUUCUGUCUGUAACGGUAACGGUAACAUCGUUACAUUUUGACAGUAACGAUUACAAAUUUUAUCCUUACUUUAUAAAUAUAAUACAUGCUUAAAGACUGUACGAUUAAACACACAAAAUCAAUAAAUAUCGAUUACGCUAAAGACUUUGUAAGCAUGUCAUUCUGGAAAAAAA